AGUCGAACGGCAGCACAGCAGUAGCAAUACUGUGGGUGGCGAGUGGCGGACGGGUGAGUAAUGCAUCGGGACCUACCUAGACGUGGGGGAUAACGUAGGGAAACUUACGCUAAUACCGCAUACGUCCUACGGGAGAAAGCAGGGGACCUUCGGGCCUUGCGCGGUUAGACGGACCGAUGUUCGAUUAGCUAGUUGGUAGGGUAAUGGCCUACCAAGGCGACGAUCGAUAGCUGGUCUGAGAGGAUGAUCAGCCACACUGGAACUGAGACACGGUCCAGACUCCUACGGGAGGCAGCAGUGGGGAAUAUUGGACAAUGGGCGCAAGCCUGAUCCAGCAAUGCCGCGUGUGUGAAGAAGGCCUUCGGGUUGUAAAGCACUUUUAUCAGGAGCGAAACGCUGUCGGCUAAUACCCGGCGGAACUGACGGUACCUGAGGAAUAAGCACCGGCUAACUUCGUGCCAGCAGCCGCGGUAAUACGAAGGGUGCAAGCGUUAAUCGGAAUUACUGGGCGUAAAGCGUGCGUAGGCGGUUUGUUAAGUCUGUUGUGAAAUCCCCGGGCUCAACCUGGGAAUGGCAAUGGAUACUGGCAAGCUAGAGUGUGAUAGAGGAUGGUGGAAUUCCCGGUGUAGCGGUGA
Molecule: ribosomal RNA, 635 nt
Filed under: uncultured Gammaproteobacteria bacterium
Lineage: Bacteria; Pseudomonadati; Pseudomonadota; Gammaproteobacteria
Description: bacterial SSU rRNA
Rfam family: Bacterial small subunit ribosomal RNA
Source: RNAcentral